This is a ribosomal RNA of Oceanibacterium hippocampi, 115 nucleotides long. Lineage: Bacteria; Pseudomonadati; Pseudomonadota; Alphaproteobacteria; Sneathiellales; Sneathiellaceae. The record is from Rfam.
CCUGGUGGCUAUGGCGGGAGGCCUGCACCCGAUCCCAUCCCGAACUCGGUCGUGAAACCUCCCAGCGCCGAUGGUACUUUGUCUCAAGGCACGGAAGAGUAGGUCGCUGCCAGGC